This 1351-nucleotide ribosomal RNA is filed under the name uncultured prokaryote. RNAcentral's name for it is "partial 16S ribosomal RNA". It matches the Rfam family "Bacterial small subunit ribosomal RNA", at positions 43 to 1395 of the family's 1533-position model. The record is from RNAcentral.
CAGGCCUAACACAUGCAAGUCGAACGGUAACAGCACUUCGGUGGCUGACGAGUGGCGCACGGGUGCGUAACGCGUAUACAAUCUACCUUUUACAGGGGGAUAGCCCAGAGAAAUUUGGAUUAAUACCCCAUGGCAUAUAUUUAUGGCAUCAUAUUUAUAUUAAAGAUUCAUCGGUAAGAGAUGAGUAUGCGUUCUAUUAGCUAGUUGGUGCGGUAACGGCGCACCAAGGCUACGAUAGAUAGGGGCCCUGAGAGGGGGAUCCCCCACACUGGUACUGAGACACGGACCAGACUCCUACGGGAGGCAGCAGUGAGGAAUAUUGGACAAUGGGCGAGAGCCUGAUCCAGCCAUGCCGCGUGCAGGAAGACUGCCCUAUGGGUUGUAAACUGCUUUUAUACGGGAAGAAACACCCCCUCGUGAGGGGGCUUGACGGUACCGUAAGAAUAAGGAUCGGCUAACUCCGUGCCAGCAGCCGCGGUAAUACGGAGGAUCCAAGCGUUAUCCGGAAUCAUUGGGUUUAAAGGGUCCGUAGGUGGAUAAUUAAGUCAGAGGUGAAAUCCUGCAGCUCAACUGUAGAAUUGCCUUUGAUACUGGUUAUCUUGAGUUAUUGUGAAGUGGUUAGAAUAUGUAGUGUAGCGGUGAAAUGCAUAGAUAUUACAUAGAAUACCGAUUGCGAAGGCAGAUCACUAACAAUCAAUUGACACUGAUGGACGAAAGCGUGGGUAGCGAACGGGAUUAGAUACCCUGGUAGUCCACGCCGUAAACGAACGAUGGUUACUAGCUGUUCGGACUUCGGUCUGAGUGGCUAAGCGAAAGUGAUAAGUAACCCACCUGGGGAGUACGUUCGCAAGAAUGAAACUCAAAGGAAUUGACGGGGGCCCGCACAAGCGGUGGAGCAUGUGGUUUAAUUCGAUGAUACGCGAGGAACCUUACCAGGGCUUAAAUGUAAGUUGCAUAAGCUAGAGAUAGCUUUUUCUUCGGACCACUUACAAGGUGCUGCAUGGUUGUCGUCAGCUCGUGCCGUGAGGUGUCAGGUUAAGUCCUAUAACGAGCGCAACCCCUGUUGUUAGUUGCCAGCGAGUGAAGUCGGGAACUCUAACAAGACUGCCGGUGCAAACCGUGAGGAAGGUGGGGAUGACGUCAAAUCAUCACGGCCCUUACGUCCUGGGCUACACACGUGCUACAAUGGCCGGUACAGAGAGCAGCCACACCGUAAGGUGGAGCGAAUCUACAAAACCGGUCUCAGUUCGGAUCGGGGUCUGCAACUCGACCCCGUGAAGCUGGAAUCGCUAGUAAUCGGAUAUCAGCCAUGAUCCGGUGAAUACGUUCCCGGGCCUUGUACACACCGCCC